RNAcentral lists this non-coding RNA (26 nucleotides) under Mus musculus (house mouse). Lineage: Eukaryota; Metazoa; Chordata; Mammalia; Rodentia; Muridae. The record is from RNAcentral.
UGGUAGAUUUUCUGACUUCUACAUUU